Long non-coding RNA from Zophobas morio, 138 nucleotides. RefSeq lists it as uncharacterized. The record is from RefSeq and is a predicted model, not a curated record. The transcript is spliced from 3 exons. Lineage: Eukaryota; Metazoa; Arthropoda; Insecta; Coleoptera; Tenebrionidae.
UUGAAUGAAAGAUGAGCUUACUUGCUACUAGGGUUUCCGAAAAAUUACAGGCAUUUGGAUACCGUCACUCAAACAUUCUUUGCCCUUACUUCUAAAGAUGCAAAACUAAAAGGUUUUUAUUCUUUCAUUCUUGAAUUA